UACGAGGGGUGCAAGCGUUAUUCGGAAUUAUUGGGCGUAAAGGGUGCGUAGGUGGUAUAUUAAGUCAAUUGUUAAAUUCCCCGGCCUAACCGGGGGUAUGCGGUAGAAACUGAUAUGCUAGAGGGUGGAAGAGAGAAGUGGAAUUCUCGGUGUAGCGGUAAAAUGCGUAGAUCUCGAGAGGAACACCAAUGGCGAAGGCAGCUUCUUGGUCCACACCUGACACUGAGGCACGAAAGCGUGGGGAGCAAACAGG
RNAcentral lists this ribosomal RNA (253 nucleotides) under uncultured bacterium. Its description in RNAcentral is "partial 16S ribosomal RNA". It matches the Rfam family "Bacterial small subunit ribosomal RNA", at positions 524 to 776 of the family's 1533-position model. The record is from RNAcentral.